UGGUUCGGAUCUCUGUUUAAUAACGAGGUAUGGAAUUUUUUGUUUGAUAAUUUGCCAUACGUUCUCAAGUGAAGCUUAGAGCUCUUCGCAAAGACAAAAAUUACAUGGAAAGGGUGGAUUUGAUCCAAGAUUUAAGAUUUGAAACUGCAACAACUAGAAUUAAAGCUACCCCGGAUGGCGAAUUUCUCAUUGCUUCAGGUAUUUAUCCACCGCAAGUCAAAAUAUACGAGUUAAGGGAGUUAUCAUUGAAGUUUGAAAGGCAUCUGA
Molecule: long non-coding RNA, 267 nt
Organism: Helianthus annuus (common sunflower)
Lineage: Eukaryota; Viridiplantae; Streptophyta; Magnoliopsida; Asterales; Asteraceae
Exons: 3
Source: RefSeq, a predicted model, not a curated record